CAGAGCUUCUCAGUGUACGUUUGGAUUCCCUUGAGGUUCUCAUGGUGUACAACUUGAGUCACAAGAAGAAUAACAGAAGGCCACACUACCUGAGUGCACAGCCCAGGACUGAGUGUGCUGAGAUGAGUGUUGGUGGUGUGAUUCUCUGACAUUUAAUGCAUCCACUCUGAGAUGAAGAACAUGAGAACAAGAAAACCACAGAGCUCGAAAGUUUGGUGCACGCACGACUCAUAUCCUCUUGGAUGAGUCUUUUUACUUCCCUGAAUCUCAGUUUCCAGAUGUGUUGCCCUGAAAUAACACCUGACUUCCAGAAC
RNAcentral lists this long non-coding RNA (314 nucleotides) under Fukomys damarensis (Damara mole-rat). RNAcentral describes it as "lncRNA (ENSFDAG00000025360.1)". The record is from RNAcentral. Lineage: Eukaryota; Metazoa; Chordata; Mammalia; Rodentia; Bathyergidae.